CCUGAUAGCUCAGUGGGUAAAGAAUCUGCCUGCAAUGCAGGAGACCCAGAUUUGAUUCCUGGGUCAGGA
Molecule: non-coding RNA, 69 nt
Organism: Bos taurus (domestic cattle)
Lineage: Eukaryota; Metazoa; Chordata; Mammalia; Artiodactyla; Bovidae
Source: Rfam